This 360-nucleotide long non-coding RNA is filed under the name Androctonus crassicauda. Lineage: Eukaryota; Metazoa; Arthropoda; Arachnida; Scorpiones; Buthidae. The record is from RNAcentral.
CUGAAGGAACAUAAAAGUGACCUACUUAAAGAAAAAACUAGUACAGCCCUGGCAAUGAGCACUUAUGAGAAUGACCUACAAGCAGAAUGGCACAAAGCAGCAGAGGUUAUAAAAACUUUAAGAAAAGACAAACACACAUUACUAGCAGAAACUAUGGAAAUUCACACUAUUCAGGAAGCGAAGCGACAGAGUAGACGUCUAGUGGCAAUUUUUGUAACUACUAUAGUCGGGGUAAAGUUUGUGUUGAUUCGAGUUUACAAUGGAUUUGCGCUUUUUGAAAAGUAAAAACAAUUGUUGUGUGCCUCAAUGCUCGUCAACGUAUAAAAAUCCUGGAAUAUCGCUUCAUAAAUUUCCAUCAAA